UACAGAGGGGGCAAGCGUUGUUCGGAAUUACUGGGCGUAAAGGGCGCGUAGGCGGCCCGCUAAGUCGAACGUGAAAUCCCUGGGCUCAACCCAGGAACUGCGUCCGAUACUGGCAGGCUUGAAUCCGGGAGAGGGAUGUGGAAUUCCAGGUGUAGCGGUGAAAUGCGCAGAUAUCAGGAGGAACACCGAUGGCGAAGGCAGCUCGCUGGGACGGUACUGACGCUGAGGCGCGAAAGCGUGGGGAGCAAACAGG
RNAcentral lists this ribosomal RNA (253 nucleotides) under uncultured bacterium. RNAcentral describes it as "partial 16S ribosomal RNA". It matches the Rfam family "Bacterial small subunit ribosomal RNA", at positions 524 to 776 of the family's 1533-position model. The record is from RNAcentral.